GAUGAACGCUGGCGGCGUGCCUAAUACAUGCAAGUCGAGCGAACGGACGAGAAGCUUGCUUCUCUGAUGUUAACGGCGGACGGGUGAGUAACACGUGGAUAACCUACCUAUAAGACUGGGAUAACUUCGGGAAACCGGAGCUAAUACCGGAUAAUAUUUUGAACCGCAUGGUUCAAAAGUAAAAGACGGUCUUGCUGUCACUUAUAGAUGGAUCCGCGCUGCAUUAGCUAGUUGGUAAGGUAACGGCUUACCAAGGCAACGAUGCAUAGCCGACCUGAGAGGGUGAUCGGCCACACUGGGACUGAGACACGGUCCAGACUCCUACGGGAGGCAGCAGUAGGGAAUCUUCCGCAAUGGGCGAAAGCCUGACGGAGCAACGCCGCGUGAGUGAUGAAGGUCUUCGGAUCGUAAAACUCUGUUAUUAGGGAAGAACAUAUGUGUAAGUAACUGUGCACAUCUUGACGGUACCUAAUCAGAAAGCCACGGCUAACUACGUG
This 497-nucleotide ribosomal RNA is filed under the name uncultured bacterium. RNAcentral's name for it is "partial 16S ribosomal RNA". It matches the Rfam family "Bacterial small subunit ribosomal RNA", at positions 28 to 507 of the family's 1533-position model. The record is from RNAcentral.